GACGAACGCUGGCGGCGUGCUUAACACAUGCAAGUCGAACGGAAAGGCCCUGCUUUUGUGGGGUGCUCGAGUGGCGAACGGGUGGGUAACACGUGAGUAACCUGCCCUUGACUUUGGGAUAACUUCAGGAAACUGGGGCCAAUACCGGAUAGGAGCUCCUGCUGCAUGGUGGGGGUUGGAAAGUUUCGGCGGUUGGGGAUGGACUCGCGGCUUAUCAGCUUGUUGGUGGGGUAGUGGCUUACCAAGGCUUUGACGGGUAGCCGGCCUGAGAGGGUGACCGGCCACAUUGGGACUGAGAUACGGCCCAGACUCCUACGGGAGGCAGCAGUGGGGAAUAUUGCACAAUGGGCGGAAGCCUGAUGCAGCAACGCCGCGUGCGGGAUGACGGCCUUCGGGUUGUAAACCGCUUUCGCCUGUGACGAAGCGUGAGUGACGGUAAUGGGUAAAGAAGCACCGGCUAACUACGUG
RNAcentral lists this ribosomal RNA (468 nucleotides) under uncultured bacterium. RNAcentral's name for it is "partial 16S ribosomal RNA". It matches the Rfam family "Bacterial small subunit ribosomal RNA", at positions 28 to 507 of the family's 1533-position model. The record is from RNAcentral.